Molecule: transfer RNA, 85 nt
Filed under: Felis catus (domestic cat)
Lineage: Eukaryota; Metazoa; Chordata; Mammalia; Carnivora; Felidae
Rfam family: tRNA
About the family: Transfer RNA (tRNA) molecules are approximately 80 nucleotides in length. Their secondary structure includes four short double-helical elements and three loops (D, anti-codon, and T loops).
Source: Rfam by way of RNAcentral
GCCUGGGUGGCUCAGUUGGUUGAGCAUCCGACUUGGGCUCAGGUCAUGAUCUCACCGUUCACGGGUUCAAGCCCUGUGUCAGGCC